UACGAAGGGGGCUAGUGUUGCUCGGAAUCACUGGGCGUAAAGCGCACGUAGGCGGAUUGCUAAGUCAGGGGUGAAAUCCUGGAGCUCAACUCCAGAACUGCCUUUGAUACUGGCGAUCUUGAGUCCGGGAGAGGUGAGUGGAACUGCGAGUGUAGAGGUGAAAUUCGUAGAUAUUCGCAAGAACACCAGUGGCGAAGGCGGCUCACUGGCCCGGUACUGACGCUGAGGCGCGAAAGCGUGGGGAGCAAACAGG
Molecule: ribosomal RNA, 253 nt
Filed under: uncultured bacterium
Lineage: Bacteria
Description: partial 16S ribosomal RNA
Rfam family: Bacterial small subunit ribosomal RNA
Source: RNAcentral